UCCCAGAAAUCCUUCCACAUGUGGAAAGAAGUCUGGUUUGGAAAACAAGACUCUGAUUGGAGAUGAAGCCCAGAGAAGCUACAGAGCCUUUACGGAGAAGUCCUCUUCAUUGUGCUCCAGCAGGGAAGAGAAGGACGCCAGGAAUCCUCCCGCUCGGAGGAUUGCAGGGCUGUUAGACACCUGCCGCGCUCCCGGCCCAGCUGCUGCUCUGCCCUGCAUGGGCUGGGAGGAAGUGAUCAGCCUCGAGAGGGGCUUGCUCUGCACACCAGUCCCUACCGGGUGAGGCGGAGGCCGGCGGACACAGCUGAUGCGAGGCCACACUGGCAGCUUGAGGACCGGCAGCUGGCAGUGAAGACCUCGUCCUAUUGUGAGGGAGGUGUCAAGAGGCCCACUGUUUUCUCCCAGAGCCCCACACCCCAAGUCCUGCUGCAACCUGAGUGUAAUUAAAGCUGGAGCUGUGAGACA
Molecule: long non-coding RNA, 465 nt
Organism: Cavia porcellus (domestic guinea pig)
Lineage: Eukaryota; Metazoa; Chordata; Mammalia; Rodentia; Caviidae
Exons: 2
Source: RefSeq, a predicted model, not a curated record